Molecule: transfer RNA, 74 nt
Filed under: Planctomycetota bacterium
Lineage: Bacteria; Pseudomonadati; Planctomycetota
Also listed under: 2 other names
Description: tRNA-Ile
Rfam family: tRNA
About the family: Transfer RNA (tRNA) molecules are approximately 80 nucleotides in length. Their secondary structure includes four short double-helical elements and three loops (D, anti-codon, and T loops). Further hydrogen bonds mediate the characteristic L-shaped molecular structure. tRNAs have two regions of fundamental functional importance: the anti-codon, which is responsible for specific mRNA codon recognition, and the 3' end, to which the tRNAs corresponding amino acid is attached (by aminoacyl-tRNA synthetases). tRNAs cope with the degeneracy of the genetic code in two manners: having more than one tRNA (with a specific anti-codon) for a particular amino acid; and 'wobble' base-pairing, i.e. permitting non-standard base-pairing at the 3rd anti-codon position.
Source: RNAcentral
GGGCUCGUAGCUCAGUUGGCUAGAGCGCGCCCCUGAUAAGGGCGAGGUCGGAGGUUCGAGUCCUCCCGGGCCCA